Molecule: ribosomal RNA, 440 nt
Filed under: uncultured bacterium
Lineage: Bacteria
Description: partial 16S ribosomal RNA
Rfam family: Bacterial small subunit ribosomal RNA
Source: RNAcentral
CUACGGGUUGCAGCAGUGGGGAAUCUUGUGCAAUGGGCGAAAGCCUGACACAGCAACGCCGCGUGCGGGAAGAAGGCCUUCGGGUCGUAAACCGCUUUCAGCAGGAACGAAAAUGACGGUACCUGCAGAAGAAGGUGCGGCCAACUACGUGCCAGCAGCCGCGGUGACACGUAGGCACCAAGCGUUGUCCGGAUUUAUUGGGCGUAAAGAGCUCGUAGGCGGUUCAGCAAGUCGGGUGUGAAAACUCUGGGCUUAACCCAGAGCCUGCACCCGAAACUGCGGUGACUAGAGUUCGGUAGGGGAGCGGGGAAUUCCUGGUGUAGCGGUGAAAUGCGCAGAUAUCAGGAGGAACACCGGUGGCGAAGGCGCCGCUCUGGGCCGAAACUGACGCUGAGGAGCGAAAGCGUGGGUAGCAAACAGGAUUAGAUACCCUUGUAGUC